UACGUAGGGGGCUAGCGUUGUCCGGAAUCAUUGGGCGUAAAGCGCGUGUAGGCGGUCCGGUAAGUCCGCUGUGAAAGUCGGGGGCUCAACCCUCGAAUGCCGGUGGAUACUGUCGGACUAGAGUGCGGAAGAGGCGAGUGGAAUUCCUGGUGUAGCGGUGAAAUGCGCAGAUAUCAGGAGGAACACCAAUUGCGAAGGCAGCUCGCUGGGACGUUACUGACGCUGAGACGCGAAAGCGUGGGGAGCAAACAGG
Molecule: ribosomal RNA, 253 nt
Filed under: uncultured bacterium
Lineage: Bacteria
Description: partial 16S ribosomal RNA
Rfam family: Bacterial small subunit ribosomal RNA
Source: RNAcentral